CAGUAGCCGCGGUAAUACGUAGGUGGCAAGCGUUGUCCGGAACUAUUGGGCGUAAAGGGCUCGCAGGCGGUUUCUUAAGUCUGAUGUGAAAGCCCCCGGCUCAACCGGGGAGGGUCAUUGGAAACUGGGAAACUUGAGUGCAGAAGAGGAGAGUGGAAUUCCACGUGUAGCGGUGAAAUGCGUAGAGAUGUGGAGGAACACCAGUGGCGAAGGCGACUCUCUGGUCUGUAACUGACGCUGAGGAGCGAGAGCGUGGGGAGCGAACAGGAUUAGAUACCCCAGUAGUCCCUGUCUCUUAUAC
Molecule: ribosomal RNA, 301 nt
Filed under: uncultured bacterium
Lineage: Bacteria
Description: partial 16S ribosomal RNA
Rfam family: Bacterial small subunit ribosomal RNA
Source: RNAcentral